CCGCCCCCCACCUCGUCUUUAGGAGAAGUCGGGAAGGUGGCAGCGG
This 46-nucleotide microRNA precursor is filed under the name Mus caroli (Ryukyu mouse). RNAcentral describes it as "miRNA (MGP_CAROLIEiJ_G0006953.1)". The record is from RNAcentral. Lineage: Eukaryota; Metazoa; Chordata; Mammalia; Rodentia; Muridae.